This 245-nucleotide ribosomal RNA is filed under the name uncultured bacterium. RNAcentral describes it as "partial 16S ribosomal RNA". It matches the Rfam family "Bacterial small subunit ribosomal RNA", at positions 524 to 768 of the family's 1533-position model. The record is from RNAcentral.
GACGAACCGAGCGAACGUUGUUCGGAUUCACUGGGCUUAAAGGGCGCGUAGGCGGUUUCCCAAGUCCGGGGUGAAAACUUUCGGCUCAACCGGAAAAGUGCCUUGGAUACUGGGAAGCUGGAGGGAGGUAGGGGCAGGUGGAACUUCCGGUGGAGCGGUGAAAUGCGUAGAUAUCGGAAGGAACGCCGGUGGCGAAAGCGACCUGCUGGACCUCUUCUGACGCUGAGGCGCGAAAGCCAGGGGAG